This 24300-nucleotide long non-coding RNA is filed under the name Eutrema salsugineum. Its description in RNAcentral is "long non-coding RNA (ESAL_LNC001339)". Lineage: Eukaryota; Viridiplantae; Streptophyta; Magnoliopsida; Brassicales; Brassicaceae. The record is from RNAcentral.
CAGAACCUACAAAACGCAGGUUAACUUUAGAUUACAUACACAGAAUUAUCUCAGCAAAAAAAGAUUUGAAAGAUUCAUCACCUUGCAGUUUGGUGCGGCAUGCUUCUCCAAGGCAGCAGCCUGAGACUUGUAAAUGGAAACGUUCUUGGACAUGACAUCUUUCCUCUCCAUUCCUUCUUUCCUCGGGAAACCACCAACCAUGACAGCAACAUUGACACCAGUACACCCUUCAACGGCAUCAGUUGUAGCAACCACACCUGUCACGGGGAACAAAGCCAACAUCACAUUCCAGACUCGAGGAACAAAACCAUAUUCGAUCAAAUCAGUGCAAACAUUUACAAUUACACAGAACUUCUUAAAAAAUUGAACUUUACCUUUAAGAAGAGGGAAAGCAGCAUCGACCAACUCCAUUUUCACACCGUUCAAUGCUUCUGCUGCAGGAGGGAUAUCAAGCAUGUGGAGGAUCACAGGCUGGUCCGCACCAAGCAUUAUUCCCCUCGCAAUCAUAGGAACAAGAGCAUAUCCGAUUUGUCCUGCCAAAUAGUCGAAACACAGUUAGAAAUGAUCUCUACAGAAAACUACAUACCAAACGCUAAAACUAAGGUUGCAAAAUCAGAAGAAAACCAAAGCUGCUUUAACCCAAAAUGACAAAAAUCCAUCAGAAAAUCACAUAAUGCUUCAUAUGAUUCAUCGAAAGUGACAAUUUAUUCCAGAAAAUCUUAGAUCUCACAUGUAUCAGGAUUCACACAAACGACACUGGAGCGAGAACUAUACUUUUAUUGUAUCGAAACAGAGAUCCGAUACAGAUCUCACUCUAGAACACAAAAAUACUAGACUAUAAACUAUGAUUAGCAAUCAAUUCGUGGUUUCAUAAAGAUCUGACGAUACUAAUCAAUAACUUUUGCGUUCUCUAAGCGAAGAUCCAAUACAAGAAUAUAGAAGACACUAGAUCGGAGGAAUAUGAAGUUUACCUGCAGCUCCAGUGACGAGAACACGAACUGGAUCCUUUGCCAUCUGAUCGGAUCGAGAAAUAUCGCCGGCGAAAAAAACUAAAAGGGAUCGUGAUUUAUCAGUUUAACAGAGAAAGAGAGCUUGAAAGGCAUGAAGCUGGUCUGUAGUAUAUUUAUUGGUUAUGACGAGCUCAGAUCCAUGGUGUGAUGCCACGUCAUCUAAAUAAAGUCGGAUUAUCUCGAACGUGGAGAUUACGGCUAUCGUAUAAUGCUAUAAUGGGCCGAGUUUCCAUAAAUGAAGCCCAAAUAUUUAAGCGCAUAUGUAUAGUGUUUAGAGGCCCUUGUCCAUGCUCAAUGUUUAAUACGGAGUAAUUAAUAUAUUAUUUUAUCAUUUAUUUUAAUUAAUAGUUUAGACGUUUUUUUGUUAAGUGCUGUCUGAAUAUUUAAACCAAAAUCGUAGCUGUCUUUGUAGAAAAUGGAUGUCAUUAUAUGUUUGACACUGUUCUUGAAGAAAAGGUCUAAACUAGAUUAGAUUGAUGACAUAAUUCUUGGAGAAUUUGAGAAAUUCGAAGAAGUAAUAUUUCUAUAUUAUGAAUUUGCGAUUGUGAUAGAAAAAAGAAAAAGAAUGGGAAACUGUAUGUGGUAAAAAAAAACCUUUUUUUCUUUGGAAAGAAAACUAGAAAAAAAUGAUAUUGCGGGUAAAAAUCAAAUAAGCAGAAAUUUAACAAUUUAAAUAGCUAAUAUAGAUAUGCUAGAGAACAUUUUUGUUUAAUUUGUUUUUUAGAUGCUUCCAGAACAUCCAAAUCAAAUCCAACUACUAAUGUUACAAAUAAAAAGCAAUAACUAUUGUUAUUAUCAUAUGGUUUUAUAUGAUGACGUUACUCGUAUUGAAUAAUAAUUUCAUAAACGAAGAAUAAAGCAAGUUUUGGGAGAAAAAGACAAUUAGUUAAGCUUAUUAAGCAAAAAAACACAAAAGUUAACAAAUUAGGGAUAAGGAAAGAAAAUCUCUGAAGGCCGUCUCAUCAGAUUUCCUUCGAAUUCAUCUCUCCGAGCUCAAAAUAUUUUCUAACUCUUCGAUCAACUUUUCUUCUAAUCAAAUUAUGCCGGAAGAUUGUCGUGAAUCUUCGGAGCCGAACUCCUCUUCUUCAAAUCCUCCUUCACCGAACUCUUCUCAAAGGGAAAGUAAUCCUCCACAGCUGGUCCGCAAGAAUUCUAGAUCGGCUGGUGCAAGUAGCAGCCGACCUCGACCGAGAAUAUAAGCGCCCGAGCAACUGACAGCAGAGACUCGUGAAACUGAAGCUCAGGUAGGACCGAACGUUGAUGGCGUUAAUCAUGAAAUCGAAGAAGUUGCGGAAUCUGAGGAUGAGAAUAUUGAAGGGAAUGACGCCGAAGUAGAUGUUACCGAGGACAACCUUGAAGCGGUGAAUCACGCCUCACCGCCUAUUCCGAAACGAAGAGUGGUCCGUCCUCAUGACGUACCGUCUUCUUCUCUUUCUCCGAGGGAAGUUCAGGCCGUACUUGAGGACCACGGGCUCUCAGAAAGAGUCGUCUUCAUUAUACCUGAAGCUGGAGAUCGGCCAUGGGACGUUCCCGAAGGCUUCCUCUGCAUUUACUUGACUUAUUUCACGCAAUGCGGGCUCUCUCUUCCGAUUCCCUCUCGUCUUCUCGGAUAUUGUAAUCGGCGAGGCGUGGCUCUUACUCAGAUGAUGCCGGCGUCGGUGACGAACUACGUAGACUUUGUCACCUUAUGUACCGAGCUCGAUGAAACUCCGACUACUCGGCUCUUUGAAGAUCUCUUUUCGGUCAAUAUUCACAAGUCCAUAUAGUGGUUUUUCGCAGCGAACGCCAAGCCGAAGAAAGAUAUCGUCACUGAGAUCAAACCCAGUAAAUAUAACGACUAGGAAUCCCAGUAUUUCUUUCUCGAGAUGAACGAUCUCACAGUCAGCAAUUCUGACAUCCCAACUCAAUCGGAAUGGAAGAUUCCGAUUGGUAGAUCUAGAUGAUCUUGUACUUUCGUUGAUUUCCGUUUUCAUAUUUUUCGAACUUCCUUUUUGGUUUAUCUUUGCAGGUCGUCAUCUCCCAAGCAUUCUUCUCAAUUCCAGACUCACUCCUGAAUUCCAAGCUGCCUUUAGCGAAGCCGGCAAACGUCGUUGGCCUGAAGCUUGGGAAGAAAUACUCCAGCGCCGAGCUAAGAAAUCAUGUUUGAUUAAUAGGUUUACUUUUAUCCUUUUAUUUUGAGUUUUUCCUAACUCUUCCUUGUGUGUUUUACAGCUUCUGUUAAGGAACCGAAGCCCCUGAAACCAAAGAGUCGAGCUAACAAGCCUCGAGCUGCUCCCAGACGGAAAGUGCCAAAGCCGCAAGCUAGACGAGCUCGACCAGCCAGGAUGCUUACGCUGGACGAGAUCCCUACUCUCUUCGACGAGGAGGAACCGAACGAUGCAGUUCCGAAUCCGAUCCCUGCCACUGAAGGGAUUAAUGAACAGCCUGAAGAACUGCCUCCAGCUGCGAACUGGCCUGACCAGACUGGUCAUAAGAAGCUGAAAAAUAAGAAAUCCUCAAAGAAAAUUAAGAGGAUUGAAGGUUCUUCUCGGGUGCAGGAUGCUACUGCCGAGCUCGAUCCUCCGAUGGCUGCGACAUCAGACCUUGCGAUUCCUCAGGAUCAGCCUGAAGCUUCCAACUCCCGGAAGAGGCAAGAAAGAGGUCAUGCCGAGGGCUCUCCGGAACCAGAGCCGGCCAAGAGGACUAAGCUUUGUUUUGAUUAUGAUGAGGAAGGCCCUUUUGAGGAGAACGUCGAUGCCUGCGCCGACCUCUACCAUAAGAUCUCCACUGAGGUCCCGAGUCUUCCAGCGAUCUCCGAGCUCCGGUUCCCAAAUUUGUACAAAGGGAUCACUCCUACAACUGCCGUGGUAAUUUCCUGGUUCUUAUUCUCUUCUUAUUUCUUUCCCAAGUAUGAGUUCUGAUCGCAUUUUCUUUUUCGCAUCUCGCCAGCCAGACCAACAACUUGGUCGCGGCAUAUGAAGUUGCUUUGUAUGACGAGCAAGUGAGAGUCGCCAAGCUGAAAGAACGGAUUUCUAAGGCUGAGGAUCGUCUUGCCACCGAGCUCCAAAUAAAUGACAGUCUUCACACCGCUGUUGACUUGCUGAAGCAGGAGAGUUCGGAGCUUAAGGCAGUGAAACCCGAACUGACCGAAGCGCAGAGCUUACUUUCUCGGGAUUUCGAGAAAGAUAAGGAGCGACUGCAGGGUUUAGUGGCUCAUUGGAAGGUUCGAGCAAGGGGCGUUCACGCGAAGGCUUGCGAACGCUUGGAAAAGGUUAUCUGCAGCUUGGAUGAUGCUGAUCGGGCUCGUAAGCCUUACCUGGUGGUCAACCAGCUUACCGGAGUUUUCGGCUUCAUCAAACAGCUUAAGAAGAAGGGUUUGUAUGAAGUUCUGCCCGAGAUGGUGGCCAAGAUCGAGACGAAGCAUGCUAAGGCGCUGCAAGAAUUUCGUUCGGUUGAUGCUUGCGUCCUCAUGGAAGAAGAUAAGCGGAUGUCUCCUCUUCCGGAAGAUGGCGAUGAUGUUCCGGCCGAGAACGUGACUCGAAGCGCGCAGGAUCAGGCGAGAGGCGAGCAGUUCGGCUCGAACGAUGAGAUACUCAACGCGGUUCAAACCGCGACUUCUAAGACUGUUUAGUCUUUUUACUUUUUUUUUCUAAGUCGAACUCAAUUGCCCUUUAAUGGGUUAUUUUAUAUGUUUUUGUAAUAUUUUGUUUAUUUCUGAACCCUCGGUGGGUUUUUAUAUUUCAAACUUAUUUGUCUUUCGGAAGGCUUUAUGAUAUGCUUGUUCGUUCUAUUUGUUGGAGUAUCUUUUUCUUAAUUGUUUCGAAAAUCUGUUAAGUAGUAGAUCGGUAUUUAGUGAGUGUUGUUCGAGCUUAAUUUUAUCUUUUGGUAGCGCAUUGCGUUAAUUCGGCUUAUAUGUGCAAGUGUUGAGAACUUGGCUUAUAGUGCGAAUCUGAGGAGUUCGGCUUGUUGUGCAAGCAUUUGAGCUCGGCCUGGGCAGGGCCGGCCCACACCUAAGGCCCAUGAAGCAAUUGCUUCAGGGCAACCCAUAAGGCUCUAAUUUUUGGAGCAACAAAAAAAGCCCAAUUUUUUUUUAUAAGUAUGUGUAAAAAUUUUAUCCCACAUCGAUCAAGACUAAAAAAUGGGAAGGAAAAAUUGUCUAUAAAUAAGAGUCAUUAUCCCUUUCAAAUAUUUUAUAAAAAAAAUUGAUUUUGGCUUUAAAAAAUCGAUUUUAAGCUUAAAAAAUCGAUUUUAGUUUUUAAAAAUCGUUUCUAGACUUCAAAAAUUCGUUUCUGUGCUUCAAAAAAUCGAUUCUGAGUUUUAAAAAAAUCGAUUUAAAGUUUAAAAAAUUAAAUUUUUUCAAAACAAAUUAUGUUUCAAUGAUAUUUUAUAUUAUUUUAAUAUAUAUUUAAAAUUAUGCUGCAAAAAAAAAAUUUCGAUUAAGGGCAUCAUUUUUAUAGGACGCUUUAGGCGUCAAAUCACUUUAAAAAUAUGCUGCAAAAAAAAAAUUUCGAUUAAGGGCAUCAUUUUUACUGGACGCUUCCUGGGCCUGGGGAACCCAAGUGAGUCGUAUCGUAUUGGAAGAGUGAGUUUGAUCGAACUCCUGUAACGCACGAGACGAGCUCAAGGUUUUCUAAGUCGAACCUAAGUGUGCGAGAUGGGUUCGGCUUAUUGUUCUUGGUGACUUAGAAUUUUUAUUGCAGGACUGGCCCCGGCUUUUUAAAGUGGUUUUUACCACGGCACCAUGUGGGUGUUCGCGAAACGGAUCUCGGCUUUUUAAGUCUGCAUUCAUGUGGAAUGAUAUCGAACAACUGGGCAGGAAGUCGAUGUUAGAAAAGUAGGAGUUUGGUAUCUCGUGAGUACCGAACUAAAACUUAGGCGUUUUUACUUAAUAAAAUUUUAUUGAUGUUAUAGCUGGACUCGGUAACGAGCUGCUUACGUACCCUUUAAAACGGAUCAAGCCAUUCGUAGUUCUAAGUACAAAAAGGUUUUGCUCCGAACUAAGUAGUUUGGAGGCUUUUUUUUUUGAAUCAGAUGACGAUCUAAUAGUAGUAUCGUUUGAGAUGCAUUGAGUUCCAGGAUCGCGGGAUCGGGGUUCCGUCGAGCUUCAUGAGUUGAUAAACGCCGGGUUUAACAACUUUCAUCACUUGGUAUGGUCCUUCCCAGUUCGCGCCGAGUUUUCCAGCAUUCUUUUCUUCUGUGUUCUGGUAAACUUUGCGAAGUACGAGAUCGCCAUCUUCAAAGUGACGGCCUUUUACCUUCUUUUGUUGUAGUAGCGAACUGCCAGUUAUUGGUAGUUUUGUAUCCGGAGUAAUGCUCAUUCUCGGUGUUCUUCGACUAAGUCAAUUGUGUCGAGCAUCAUGUCUUUAUUCGCGUCGGGUUACUGAGUGAGCAUGGUUCGGCGAAUACUAGGAACAUUGAGUUCGGCUGGGCACAUAGCUUCCGUACCGUAUGCAAGGAAGAAAGGUGAUUGACCGGUAGAACGUCGUGGUGUAGUUCGAUGGGACCAUAAGACACCAUCAAGUUCGUCCGCCCAAGUUCCCUUAGCCGUAUCCAGUCGCUUCUUCAGACCAUCGAUAAUGGUUUUGUUCGUGGCUUCGGCUUGCCCGUUUCCUUGUGGAUAUCGCAGUGUAGAGAAAUUUAGGCGGAUUUUCCAUUUGGCGCAAAAAUCUGUGAAAAUUAUUGAAGUGAACUGGGUGCCGUUAUCUGUGACGAUCUCAUACGAGACGCUGUAUCGGCAGAUGAUGUAUUUCCAAAUGAACUUUUUGACGUCGAUGCCGUGUAUCUCGGGAUAUGCCUCGGCUUCGACCCACUUGGUGAAAUAGUCGGUGACGACCAGAACGUAUUGCUUCUGGGUUGUAGAUCGGCGAAAUAGACCGAUGAUGUCCAUUGCCCAACGCAUGAAAGGAUAUGGUGCGGUCGAGGUCAUCAGUAGUUCGGUAGGAAAAUUGAUCAUCGGGCCAUGACGUUGGCACUUCUCGCAUCGUGCAGUAUACAUUUUGCAGUCGGAGAGCAUAGUAGGCCAGUAAUAGCCAGCUUUCUUGAUCUUAAAUGCCAAAGACCGGGCUCCAGAGUGAUUCCCUUUCUGCAUAACUUCCAUGAUGUCGUUGCCGUGAACACAAGUCAAAAGUGUGCCGGACGCAUCCCAUCUAAGGAGGGUGCCUUUAAUGACCACGUACCGAGCUGCACGAGCCUUAAGGCGUCGAGCUGCCCAUUUAUCUGCGGGAACUGUUCCAUCGCCAAUGUAGCCGACGAUUUCUAAAGUCCAAUCUUCGGGCUCGUCAUCGCCUUCAGCCUCGAUAUCGAUUGGGACGUGUUGGCCUUUGGAUUCAUCCUCGUGAUCAGACUCGUUGUCGUCUUGUUCGUUCAUAUCGGUAUCGAGAUCGGUGACAACUUCCUUAGGUUUGGUCUUCCGGGUGAGGGGUAGAACGAGGUUGGGCCAUGCUUCGUAGUCGCAUCGUAAAAAUAUUGCAGCUUGGAGCGGGUUCGAUACUAGGUCGUUCGCUUGCCGCGACUGGAAUUGUUCGCCAGAGAUCAAGAUCGGAGUUAGUCGCAAGGGCGUCUAAAGCAUCAGCGGUAGCGUUCUCGUCACGCGGUAUCUUCGUGAGCUCGAAGGUCGAGAAUUCCAAAGCAACAUCUUUGAGGACUUUGAGGUCAUCCAUGCGAUCAUUCUUGGCUUCAUAUUAACCGUGAAACUGAUUAGCUACGAGUUGAGAGUCGCAGUAGGCGUGGAUGUGUUCGGCGCUGAUUCCUUUGGCGAGUCGUAAUCCGGCAAUUAGCGCUUUGUAUUCAGGUUCGUUGUUAGAUGCCGGGAAGCCGAGGCGGAAUGACUGUUCGAUGACCUCGCCUUCAGGAGAUUUGAGACGAAUUCCGACGCCGGAUCCUUUAUGGGAAGAGGAGCCAUCGGCAUGAAGGAUCCAGGGUUGUAUGGCCGGGUUAGCAUCGACGAGCUCGAAUGGGAGUUCGACCAAGAAAUCCGCCAAGACUUGGGAUUUCGUCGUGGUCCUUCCUCGGUAUUCGAUAUCGUAUUCGCUAAGUUCAAUGGCAUAUUUGGCGAGUCAGCCGGAUUGACUUGGGCUGUGAAGGAAGGUGUGAAGAGCAUGGUCGGUUAAGACAACGAUCGGGUGUGACUGAAAAUACGGGCGUAACUUUCGUGCGGAGAUAACCACGGCGAAGGCGAAUUUCUCCAAGGUUGGAUAGCGAUACUCAGAUCCGUCGAGGGACUUACUUGUGUAGAAAAUUGGCUUCUGCUCACCACGGUCUUCUCGACACAAGGACAUGCUGACCGCAUAUUCUGAGAUCGCGAUGUAAAGGUAGAGUGUCUUGCCAGUUUUGUGUUUGGAUAGAACUGGUGGCGUAGACAAGUACUUUUUAAGCUCGGAAAAAGCUUCCUCACACUUCUCAUUCCACUCUAGAUGCUUGUUACCGCGGAGAAGUUGGUAGAAAGGCAAGCACUUGUCUGUCGAUCUGGAUAUGUAUCGAUUGAGUGCCGCAAUGCGUCCGGUUAACCACUAGAAUUCUCGUUUGGUUGUUGGAGACGGGAGCUCGAGUAUAGCUGCAAUCUGCUUCGGAUUAGCUUCAAUGCCACGAUGUGUGACUAUGUAUUUGAGGAACUCGCCGGAUGUUAUGCCGAACGUGCACUUAGUGGGAUUGAGUUUCAUGCCGUAUUGGUCUAGAAUAUCGAAGCAUGUGCAAAGAUGGCCGACAUGAUCAGAAGCGACGAGUGACUUGACGAGCAUGUCAUCAAUGUAGACUUCCAUAGUUCGCCUGAGAUGGCUUGCGAACAUUCGGUUGACUAGGCGUUGGUACGUUGCUCCAGCAUUCUUCAAACCAAAGGGCAUAACCUUAUAGCAGUAUAUGCCGCGAUCCAUGAUAAACGAUGUUUUGUCCCGGUCUUGAGGAUGCAUAAGGAUCUGGUUGUACCCGGAAAAUGCGUCCAUGAAUUAGAGGAGUUCAUUUCCGGCAGUUGCCUCUACAAGGCGGUCGAUAUGAGGCAAAGGAAAGCUGUUUUUUGUGCAUGCUUUAUUGAGGUCGGUGAAUUCGACGCAAAUCCUCCAUUUGCCGUUCUUCUUCUUGGCAACCACGAGAUUUGCUAGCCAGUCAGGGUACUUGACCUCAGUGAUGGAUCAUGCUCUGAGUAAUCGCUCGACCUCAUUGUUGACGGCUUGUGCCCUCUCUGGCCCGAGUUUUCGGCGUUUCUGCUUGAUCGGCUUGUAUGUCGGGUCGAUGUUGAGUUCAUGACAAGCGAUUUGUGGAUCGAUCCCGGGCAUAUCCUCUACUGACCAUGCAAAGGUGGAUAAGUGUUGCUUCAGGAAGUGAACGAAAAUGUCAGGAUCUUUGGGUCAAGUUUGGCGCCAAUGCCGACCUGUGCUCCGGCCUUAGUUCGUCGAUGCAGACUUGAGUAAUCGACUCUUGCUUCGGUUUUGUUUUUUGGACAAUGAGAUCGGCAGUUGGACCUUGAGAACUGAUGAUGCAGGCUUGGUUGGCCGAGCGCAGCUUGCAUUCAUUUAUGUAGCACGAUCGGGCGACGGCUUGGUUACCUCGGAGAGUGUAAAUACCGUCGGGAGUCAGGAAUUUGAGGCAUUGAUGGUACGUAGAGGCAACUGCCUUCAUCGCGUGUAACCAAGGUGUGCCGAGAAUAGCGUUGUAGAUCGCUUUGUCAAGGAUGAGGAACUGUAUGAUCUUCGCCACUCCGGCGAGGUAGAUCAGGAUUUUGACUGUGCCGACCGUCAUGCAACGUUUGCCAUCAAACCCCCUGUGAGUGGCUCGAUAAAGGGCUCAAUUUUGUCUGACGGUAUAUCGAGCUAAUCAAGCGCGUAUUUGAAGAUAAUGUUGACCGAACUGCCUGUAUCAAUAAGAAUGCGGCUAACUUCGACAUCGUCGAGAAGUAGUUCGACGACGAGGGCGUCGUUGUGUGGUUUGUGCAACCCGAUUGUGUCGGCUUCGGUGAAUAUCAAAGGGGUCCCCUUCGGUGGAUUGUGCGGGAGCUUAGGCGCGGUGGCGGCUUGUCUGCUGUAUUCCUUGAUGGCCCGAACUGAAUAGCUGCAGGCUUCGAUAGCUCCCAUAAUCAUGUAUACACGUUUCCUUGCUUUGGGAGUAUGGUUUUCUGGCGCGGGGUCAUCGCGGUUGCGUUUCGGUUGCUCGGGUAAACCAGGUUUCGGUGGAGGCGGCGGUAAAGCUGGUGGAUCUUUGGCGACGGCGUUCUCGGGCGGUACGUUAUUCGGUCGAGGUGACCUGUUCCUUGGAGCGUUUCAACGACGGAGAUCGUCGAGCGAGAUUUGUCCUUUUCGAUACUGUGCAAGUAGGUAUUCCCGUAGAUGUCUGCAGUCUUCGGUGCUAUGUCCUUUACGGUUAUGGAAUUCGCAGAACAAUGACUCGUCUUGAUCUUCUUCGCUGCGGAUCCACUUAUUAUUCCACUGCUUGGCCGGUUGCUGGAUGGCGUUAGCGUAGAACUUCUUGUGAUUCUCGUACCCUCUGCUAUAGCCCAAUUGAGGUUCGUUAGUGGCGGCCUUUGGUCGUUCGGGCUGCUUUGCCGAAUAGCUCUGCUCAUAGGCUGCCUCCUCUUCUUCUUCAGCGAUAUAAGUGUUAGCUCGGUGUAGUGCGUGCUCCAAGGUCUGCGGGGGGUUGUGCGUGAUCGCGCUCCAGAAGCUUGUUUUUAUUCGAGCUCCUUUCUGGAGACAUAAGAGGGCGGCUUCGUCGCUUCGUGCAGUUGGCAACGAUCGUCUUGAAGCAUUGGAUGAAGUCACAGAGGAUCUUGUUUUCUCCUUGAGCUAUCUACCAUAGUUCGGAGUUCUUGGUGUUCUGUCCUAUGAACAUUGAGAAGUGCUUGACAAAGGUCGUCGUUAGCUCCUUGAAGUUAUUUAUUGAGUUCGCCUCGAAUCGUGAGAACCAUUCGAGAGCUAUUCCUCCUAGAUUCUCGACAAAUAGCUGACACUGGACCGCAUCCUUCUCCUCGGCAGACCUGAACUGGUAUCGAUUCAUGCAGAUUCCGAAUGAGGUAAAAAAAUGUCGGGGAUCGGUAUUGCCUUCAUAGAUCUUGAUCUUGAGUAUCUCCAUGUGUUUGACAGGCGUUCCCGCUAUGCGCGGUGUAAAGGAUGUCUUUUGUGUUUCCUAAAUGACGCGCUCGAUCUUCGGGGCCGCGCUCGUUGCUUGGUGAAUUUUCGAAGUGAUCUGGCAGAGCUGUGCCUUCAUCGCUUCGAACUCGGCAUCGCGACUCAGAUCCGGUAGUGUUGGAGCGUUUGUCGAUCUGACAGCAGUGGAUCGUAUAGUUCCGGCUGGGUCCCCAUCAGUAUUGAGGUCGUCAAUGAUGUUCCGAACUCGAAGGGGAGUCCGUGCUUGACUGAGCUCGGCGAUCUGUGCCGCCAUCUGACUGAAGCGCUCUUCGCUCCUUUUGUGGAUAGCUUCAAACUGAGCAUUGAACACUUGGAGCAGUAAUUCGGUUCCAAAGCCUCCUACGGCUGCAGGAGUUUGGCCGGCCUCUGCUCCAGCGGUUUCCCCAGGGUUUCCUCCUGUCUGCUCUGCGGGGGUUCGGAUGGCGCCGUUCUCUUGACCGAGAGGGUUUUCUUCCUCAUGGAUGUUGACUUGGUCUGUCAUAGCUGAUUCGAUCUCUCCGAAAAUCCGAUCUAAAACUGAGUAUUCUGUUAAGUCCCCCUACCUAGCGCGCCAAUUGUUGAUAUGUGAAUAUCGACAAAGGACAAAACAGUAAUUUAGAUCGGCAAACUCGGAUUUUAUUAGAUCGAUCAAAGAAUACAACUGAGUUUGGUGAAUUCGAACUAAGACUUAUGAAACUAAGAAGCUAAACCCAAUCCGCCUUUAUGGCUGGAAGAUUGAUCUUGGAUAACAUACUGAUAGCUCAUGAGAUGUUUCACGGAUUACAGACCAAUAAAUCAUGCAAAAGUAAAUAUAUAGCAAUUAAAACAGACAUGAGCAAAGCUUAUGAUAGAGUAGAGUGGUCUUUUAUCAAACACCUACUAAGACACUUUGGGUUUGUGAAAAAGUGGAUAAUAUGGAUGAUGCGAUGUAUUACUUCUGUUCAAUAUAUAGUUUUAUUAAACUGGCAGCCAAAAGGGCAAAUAAUUCCGGGAAGUGGACUCCGUCAAGGAGAUCUGCUAUCCGUACUUAUUUAUCCUAUGUACGGAAGUGUUAAAAUAUAAGGAAAGCGGAGAAUGAAAAAUUACUAACGAGGCUUAAAAUUGCAAGGGCAAGUCCAUCAGUCUCACACUUACUUUUUGCUGAUGAUAGUCUAUUUAAGUCCUCAGUUCAGUUUGGCCACACGGUUCCUGAAAUAGUACAAAAUGAGAUCAAACAAAUUUUAAGAAUUACGAGGGAAGGGGGAACAUGAUCUUACCUUGGCAUCCCCGAAAGCAUGGGUGGAGCCAAAUCAAAGAUUUUUAAUUUUGUCGCAGACAGACAACAGACUCGAAUUAAUAGUUGGACCUCGAAAUUGUUAUCAAAAGGGAGAAAAGAAACGUUAAUUAAGUCAGUGGCAUCCGCAAUGCCCACUUUUGUCAUAUCAUGUUUUUGGUUACCUAAGUCUACUACAGGAAAAUUGAAUAGUGCAGUGGCACGAUAUUGGUGGAGCUCAGAUGGUCAUCAACGAGGGAUGCAUUGGCUGGCAUGGACAAAGAUGUGCAGAGAUAAAGUGGAAGACGAAAUCGGAUUCCGAGAUGUGAAUGAUUUUAAUACAGCGUUAUUGGCAAAACAGUUAUGGCGACUAAUAGAUAAACCAGACUCAUUGUUUGCACGAGUUUUUCAAAGGACGAUAUUAUCGGAACGCAGGCCCUUUGGAUCCUGUACGUUCUUACUCACCGUCUUACGGAUGGCGGAGCAUCAUUGUGGCUAGAUCUCUGGUUAAUAAAAGGCUAAUUAAAAGAAUUGGUUCAGGAUGUUCUAUCUCAAUAUGGAAUGAUCCCUGGAUACCUUCUUAUUGCCCAAGAUCAGCCACUUGUAAGAGUUUUAAUUACUACCUUAAUCUAAUGGUCAAUCAUCUGAUUGAUCCAGUGACAAAAACAUAAAACUUGAAUUUGAUAAGAGCAAUAAUCGAACCAGCUGAUGUGGAAAUAAUCUGGGAAUCCCUGCCUAAUCAAUUGGGCUGACAUUUCACAAAAUAUGGAAAAUACAUGGUUAAAUCAGGGUAUAAAACUGAAAGACAAUUAUAAAAUAGGGGGCUCAGAGGACUACUAUUGUCCAAAUAUAAAGGUACUACAAGCACAUACUUGGAGAUUGAAAUGCUCACCUAAGUUAAAACACUUUAGAUGGCAAGCAAUAUCGGGAUGUCUUUCUGUACCAGCUAGGCUGAAUAAGCGAGGAAUACAAUGUGACACACAAUGUGCACGAUGUGGAGCGGAGGAAGAAACAAUAAACCAUGCCCUUUUCGAAUGUUCCCCCGCUUUACAAACUUGGGUAAUACCCCAUAUACCAACACCCCCGGGUGUAUUUCCAAUGACCUUAGUUUACUCAAAUUUUGAUCAUCUUUUUUGGAAAAUACCAAACGAUAUAAACAACAUACAAUUCUCAUGGAUUGUAUGGUAUAUUUGGAAGGCACGCAAUAAGAAAGUGUAUUUGAACCUUGAUGUUGAUCCACAAAUUACUUUAAAAAUAGCGGAGACCGAAGCGGCAUUAUGGGAAGAGGCUCAAAGGCGGGAACAUGAUUCAGGGAACUCAGACCCCAUAAAUACGGACAUUUCUAUGGACAUAUCUUUAUUACCCGCGACUUUUGAAGGGUGGUGGUGUUAUAUCGAUGGCUCUUGGAAAGAAACGGAAUUAUCUACUUUUGAAGGGUGGUGGUAUUAUUUUAAAGAAGGUGCAAGGGACAAAAUAAUGGGGGCACAAAAGGAAAUUUAACAGCCCUGCAUGCAGAAAUGGAAGCUCUAAUAUAGGCUAUGCAUUGUAUGUUAGAGAACCAGAAAACAGAAGUAACUUUUGCAACAGACUGUUCGGAGUUGGUGAAGAUGGUGUCUACACCAUGAGAAUGGUCAGCAUUUGCUCUACACUUGGAGGAGAUUGUGAAGAUGAAGGACAUGUUUAGCUUUUUCACUUUAUCAUAUAUCCCACGCACGAAGAAUUUAAAAGUAGACAAUUUAACAAAAAGUGAUUGGAUCUACUCUCAAGAAGUCAUCUAUGUAAACUUGUUGAUAUGUGAAUAUCGACAAGGGACAAAACAAUAAUUUAGAUCGGCAAACUCGCAUUUUAUUAGAUCAAUCAAAGAAUACAACUGAGUUCGGUGAAUUCAAACUAAGACUUAUGAAACUAAGAAGCUAAAGUAUUGAGUUCUCAGUCUCUAAGUCUCUCUGGAAUUUCUUGUGUCUUCUGGUGUCGAUUCUUCUUCCUUUAUAUAUAUCUUCUAAGUCGGUCUUCAUGGGUCUUCUCUGCGAUAUGGGACCGAAGACUUUCCUUUUCUCUCGGUCUUUUUCCUUUUCUCACGGCAAUUUCCUUUCUUCUCGUCAGUUUCCUUUUUCUGUUCGGAAACUUUCCAUUUUCCUCCGAACUCAGAGAACUUCUCGGUUCCCUUGAGAAGUUUCUGACCGACUUCGGCUUGUUGGGCUAUGUUCGGCCCAAGAACUCACUCGGCCCAAUAUUCCCGGUAUAUUUCCUUCGUAAACCGGGCUUGCUUCGUGCCGAUCUCGGUUUGUACCGGAGAAAACCGGGGAUGCGGUUUUCACCUCCAACAAAACUCAAUAUCAUCGGUUUGGGGUAACCGAUUUCUAGAUAUUUAAGCUGAUGACAAAAAAAAUCAGUUAAUGAAAAUGUCAAAAAGUCGGAUGCCAAAAAGUCGGAUGCCAUGAAUUUUAUAUUUUCACGUGUCCUUCCCAAAAAUCCCUAUUUCAUUUUACAAUGGUACUAGUUAACUUUUUCGCGCUUUGCGCGGACCGAUAUAAUUUUCCAUUUGGUUGUUUGGGAAUCUAAUAGUAGUUUGGAUUCAUUUGUUUUUUUUUUAUCCUCUAUUGUUGAAUAUAUUUGUUUGUUAAAUUUCCCUGCAUUUUAAUGUUUGAAAACAUGAUCAUGAAAACAAUAUAAAAGAGAGUAAAUAAAAACAUAUUAGUAUCGAGAUAGUUUAGUUUAAAUUGUUUUGAGAUCUUUUGAUCAUUAUUUUAUGCAUUUUAGAUGUAAUUUUUUUAAGUAUUGUACGAACUUAUUCCAUUUUAAUCAUUGUUUUAUGUAUUUUAGAUAUCACAAAUACCAUCAUUUCAUUAGACAUUCAUUGAUUGAUUUUUACUUUUUCGUUAGAUUUGACUAAAUAUCGGUUUUAUUAAAUUUGAAAAACUUUAUUGAUAAUAAAGUAAAGUAUUAAACCAUAAUAAUUUAGACCAAUAUGAUUCAAGUUAAUUCUUAUUUAAUACUUGUUUAGAAAAACAUUAGUAUAUAUUUACCAUGAUUCCAUGAGUUUUUAGUUGGAACGAAGAAAAAGAAAUUGGUUAGACAAUUUUAAAAGUGAUGAUAGAAUUAGAGAAAAGUGGCUGAUAUUUAUAUUAAAUCAUAAGAAAUCGAAAACCUUAUAAACAUAAGAAAUUGUAAACACUAACAUAUCUAUCAUAAUAAUUAGUGAUAUUUUAUUAGUUAGAAAUUAUUUUUUUUUGUUUUAAACGAUAUUCCAUUAGUUAGAUAAUAGAUUUUUUAAAACUUUUUUAUUAGAUAUUAUUUUUUUUUUAAUUUUGAUUUUUUUUUGUUUUGAAACGACAGUCCAUUAAUUUUUAAAUAGAUUUCAGUUUUUGUUUCUUUUAAUAUUUUUGUUAGAUUUUUUCUAAAUUUCAGAAAAAUAAGAAAUGGUAAACACUAACCUAUAUAUCAUAAUUAUCGAGAACACUAACUUAGAUCUAAUUUUUAAAAUGGUCGAUGGGCUUUAUACACCAUUCCAUAAAAAAUAUAUAUAUAUAUAUAUAUAUAUUUUGUUUUUUAUAAACGUUUUAAUUAUUUUUUUUCUAAAUUUUGGUUUUAUAUCAUUUUAAAACCGGUUUGAUUGACUACAAAAUUAAGCAUCAAACCAUAAUAAUUUAGAACGGUUUGUUUUAAGUUUUUUUACACAUCAUCACAUAAGAACCAAUAAAAAAUAACAUGUAAUUGCUUAAUAGGGCUAAACGGUCUUUUUGCAACCAAAACUCAUUCUGGAGCUGAUACGUAAGCAAAAUGUUGUGAAACUCGCUGUGAGCGCGACACGUAAUCAAAUCACUACACAAAUAAGUAGUUAGAAUGAAGAAGAAGGAAGAGGUUAAAUAAUUUUAAAAGUUGUGAGAAAAGUAGAGAAAAGUGGCUGAUAUUUAAAUUAAACCAUAAGAAAUCGAAAACCUAUAAACUUAAGAAAUCAUAAACACUAUAAUAUUUAUCGAUAUUCUAGCAUAAAUUUUGUUUUUUGUUUGUUUUGAAAUGACAUUUUAUAGCUUUUUAAAUGGAUUCCAUUUUUUUUGUUUCUUUUAAUAUUUUUGUUAGAUUUUUAUCAAAAUUUUGGAAAUAUAAGAAAUGGUAAACACUACGAGAUAUAGAAGAUUUUUUUUUUUUUUUCAAAAACGUUUUUGUUAAAUUUUUUUUUCUAAAUUUUGGUUUUAUAAAAAAAUUUAAACGGUUUGGUUGACCAUAAAAUUAAGCAUUAGACCAUAAUAAUUUAGACCAGUUUGUUUUAAGUUUUUUUACACAUCAUCAAUUAACAACCAAUUAAAAAUGACAUGUAAUUGCUUAAUAGAGCUAAACGGUCUUUUUGCAGCCGAAACUUAUUUUAGAGUUGACACGUCAGCGAAAAAGUUGUGAAACUCGCUGUGAGCGCAACACAUCAGCAAAUCACUAUACAAAUAGAUAGUUUAUGAAAUUUUUUUUUUUUGGUAUGCAACAGGGAGAAAGUUCUCCCCAAGUUUUAUUCAAAAGUCAUAAACUCAAAUACAAACUCGUCUAGAAGUCCCAAUUCCACAACCAUCCUCCGAAACCAGAGGGGCAAUACAAUCCGGGACCAACUCUAGCGAAUGAAAACCAAAGCGUAAAGAAAAAGCAUAGUUAGCUAACCCAUCAGCAAGACGGUUAGCUUCCCUAUACACAUGAACAAUCCGGACAAUCCAGUCCCUCGAGAUAAAGCCAUGGCGCAGUCAUACCAGGAAAGACAGAGGGUGAGCCUCACUAAUCCCUGUCGUUAGAAAACCCACCACCAUCUUCGAAUCCACCUCCAACUCUAGCCUCUGAACUCUCCUUUCCCAAGCAAUGUACAACCCAUAAUACACCCCCCAAAGCUCUGCUACCGGGGCUGAACAUAUCCCAAUAUUAAGAGCAAAACCCGCUAUCCAUCUCCCCUGAUCAUCUCUCAAAACACCACCAGCUGCAGCUAAACCCGGAUUACCUCUUGAAGCUCCAUCCGUGUUCAUUUUAAACCAACCUUCUUGCGGAUGGGACCAAGCAAUCACGCGCUCGACCCAUUGUGUAUCUGAAACCGUCAACCUCUGAACUCAGUUUGCAUCCGAGACCUCCCUAGCCAAAUCCUUGACAAAUUGCACUCUGUCCCGGCAUUUUCUAUUACUGUCAAAUACAUUCCCACAACGCCAUUUCUAAACCCACUACACCGCCAUAGCAAAUAAUGUGGACCAGUUUAAACCGCCCAAGCUUGUAUCCGAAGCCAAGUUUGCAAACAACCAUUCAAGAAGCGAGCAGGAGAAGAACCAACGUCUCUUACUUCUCGGUACAAGCCUUUCCCAUAUACCUGACAUCGCUGGACAAUCUCGCAAAAUGUGAAUUAUUGUCUCCUCUCCUCCUUUACAAACUUGACAUAUCGAUGAGUCACUAAUAUGCCUUCGAAAUCUCUCCGCACUAGACAUAAUCACUUGAUUACUUGCUAGCCACAAGAAUAUUUUUACUCUCUCUAGAGCCACAACUUGCCAAACGCGUACCCAAAGAGCCUCCAUAUUCGGUAAUGGUACAUGAUUUCGGGUCAACAUCAUGUACGCUGUUUUAACCAAAAACUCCCCAUCUGAACUUUCUCCCCAUGACAAACGGUCUUGAGCUCCCGUAAUAUAAUCAACCACAACAGCUCCGAGUCGAAAUUUGAUUAAUUCAGUCACCCACGGCACAAUCCUGCUCUAAUCCCAACCGAAACCAUCUCUCCACAACUCACUAACUCCUUCAUCAAUCUUACUCUUCGGAAUAUUCCCAUCUAUCACCUCCAAAAUCGACUUGUUCAUUAGCCAUUUAUCUCUCCAGAAUGCAACACUCCGUCCAUUCCCCACCACCCACCUAUGCCCCGGUACCAACACUUCACGGCAACCGAUAACAAUACUCCGCCAUGUUGAGGACCACGUAUUCUUGGGCACUAACCAGUCCGCCUCCUUUAACUUCCCCACUUUAUAUUUGCUUCUCAAAACACAUGCCCAUAAGCUAGAUCGGUUGUGUGACAAUCUCCAGCCCACCUUUGCAAGCAUCGCCUUAUUCAUCUCUUGCGCUCUUUUUAUACCAAGACCUCCCUCAUACUUCGAUUUACAUACCCUAUCCCACGCGAUAAGAUGUUGUUUUCGGGUCUCGCUCGUACUGCCCCAGAGAAAAGAUCUCGAAACCUUAUCCAGCUCAUCCAAUAGCACCUUAGGUAAAGCUAUCACACUCAUCGUAUGAAUUGGUAUAGAUUGUAACACAGCCUUCGUUAAAGUUAAUCUCCCUGCAAAGCUCAGGCACCUCUCUUUCCAUCCAGUUAACUUCGAAGAUACCCUCUCCAAAACUUCCCCAAACGUCGCCUUAUUCACUCUCUUCUGGAGAAUCGGCAUACCCAAGUACUUUCCCAAUUCAUCGUGGCUUUAAUCCCACUCUCAUCAGCCACCAUUCGCUUCAUAUCUCGGGAUACAUUGUUAGAGAAAACAAAUUUUGAUUUCUCUAAACUCACCUUCUGACCCGACGCAACACAAAAUUUCUCAAGCACCCUUCGUAUCACUUUUAUAUGUGCUACCGACGCCUCUGCAAAUAAAAUAAGAUCAUCCGCAAAACAGAUAUGCGAAAGUGGAGGACCUCCACGUGAUAACCGGAUCGGUUUCCAUUCUUUCCGAGUAAUGGAAACGUCAUUUAUCUGGCAUAGUAGUUCAAGGCAUAGAACGAACAAGUAUGGAGACAAAGGAUCUCCCUGUUGUAAUCCCUGGAGUGGCUUAAAAGAAUCUGUUUUCUCCCCAUUCCACAAGAUAUUCAUCGAAGGCCCAGUGACACAUCUCAUAAUCCAAUUCACCCAGCUCUGUGAGAAUCCCGCUGCCUCAAGAGUAUCUUCCAGAAAAUCCCAUCGUAUCCUAUCAUACGCCUUCUACAAGUCUAGCUUCAAUAACAUCCAACCUCUGCGACCCUUCUUUCGUUUCAUAGAAUGCACAGAUUCCUGCACUAUGACAAUAUUGUCUAUACUAAGCCGUCCUGGUAUAAAGCUCGACUGUGCUGGCCCGAUCAACUUAGAAAUCACCGAAUUUAACCUCAUUACCAUCACUUUGGUGAUCAUCUUAAACACGACAUUGCAGAGACUAAUAGGCCGGAAUUGAGUGAUUUUUUCCGGUUUAGCCACUUUCGCAAUCAAUACUACCAGAGCAUCAUUCAAACCCAGAGGCAGCUCACCCGUCACGAAAAAAAUCAACACGAAGCUAGUAACCGAUUCUCCCACUACAUCCCAGCACUUGUGGUAAAAGACCGGUUGGUAUCCAUCUGGCCCCGGUGCUUUAUAUGCUCUCAUACUUCGACUAGCAGCCUCCACCUCACUCGGCAACACCGGUUUAUUCAACAAUUUCUUCUCCUCAUUUGACAGCUUCUGAAAACCAUCCCGUGACAGCCCCUCUACAACGGGAUCAACAUCAUCUAAAGAGUAUAAUCUCUUGUAAUAAUCGAUCGCUAGCCCUUCUAACUCUUGCGGAUCCGUGAGCCAAGUGCCAUUGUCAUUCUUUAACAUCUCUAUCCAAUUCCUCCUCCUUCGGAUUAUAGUUGAGGUGUGGAAAAACUUGUGUUCCGAUCUCCUAACACAAUCCAAUUCUCACGAGAUUUCUGGAACCAAAGUGUUUUUUCUUGUUCAAGGACCAUAUCGAGCUCUUUGAUCAGUCCCUCCUCCUCCAUUAACAGCGCAUCCGAUUGAGUGUGCUCAAGAGUAUCCUGUACCACCUUAUUUUCGUUAACAACAUCUCCUUUUUCUUAUGCACAUCUCCAAAAACAUCUUUGUUCCAUCUUCGCAAAGCCUCUUGUAAAUAAGCAAGAGCAUUCGGUGUGUCCAUGUCCCUUCUCCACGAAGCUUUCACCAAAUCCUUGAAACUCGGAUGAGUUAACCAUGCUGCCUCAAACCGAAAAGGUCUCCGACUCCUAUCUCUACUCACCACCAGGCUCAAUUGGACAUAGAGAGGCGCAUGAUCUGAAGCCAGAAACGGUAAAUGGGUCACUUUAGCAUCCUGCCAUUUGAGUCUCGCUUGCGCACAACACAACACUCUAUCCAAUCUCUUUGCAACAUAAUUCUGCGUCACCUUCCCCCUCCUCCACGUAAAUUUGUUUCCACGAAACCCCAUAUCGAUAAGUGAUUCUCCAUUAAUCCAAUCACCAAACGACAAUGAAUCCACCGAUAAUCUCCCAUUACCACCAGACAUCUCAUCCAACCGAACUAUCGUGUUAAAAUCACCCCCGAUUAACACCGGUCCAUCGACCCCCUGUAACGAAUCAUGAAGCUGGUUCCAAAGACCACUUCUCCUACUCACAGUUGGCGCAGCAUACACUGCUAUAACGUGUAGAAUCUCAUCUCCAUUCUCCACACGAAUAUGGAUGAAUUGAUCAGAAGAUCGAAUGAUUCUCACACUUCCAAUACCUUCUCUCCACAACAACCAAAUACCUCCACUCUGUCCAAUGACAUCCACACGAAAGGAGUCCUCAAACCCCAAUCCACGACAAAUUCUACUCGCAUUCUCUCCUCCCACAUGCGUCUCAAACAGUGCCAACAUAUCCGUUUCAAAUUUCUUUAACAAAUACCGGAUUGAUCUCCUAAAGUUGGGUUUAUUCGCCCCCCGGCAAUUCCAGAAUAUACAAUUCAUGAUUAACAUCUCUUUCCAAAUGAGAAUCACCGGGGUAACCCGUUAUUUACUGACAUUCACCUUUCCUCCAUCAGACGAAACAUCAAUCAUCUCCGUUUCAAUCCUCUUUGGGUUCACUUCGGUCCCAAGACUGAUUAUCUCACCUCCCUCUUCACCUACGGGGUUUCACACCCACAUCCUCUAACCGGUUUCUUCCUCUGGCCGAGAAGACUCCUCCCGGUCUCCCCGCAUUUUCCCAGCUCCACUCUUAGGCUUUUACCACUUGAUGGUAGAGUCAUCUCCUCCGAGCUCGACCCGAACACCACCCCUGUCCAACUUUACUUCCCCGACUCUGUUGCCUCUGCACAUACCCAGCUUCCUCUGUUUUGUUGGGCUUUUUUCUCAAUGGGCCCAACUCUUUGAGCCCCUUUACCUUUGCCCAAAAACGACCCAUUCCUCUCUUCUCGGUUAUGUGUCUGUCCCGCCUCCUUUUGGACAUUAAAUCGAAUAACUGCAUUUUCCUUAUUUGCUGCAGAGCAAAUAUUCUUUUCCCUCUCCUUCGGCUCAAUAAUAUCGGCAACUUCUAGCUCACCAAACUUAUUAGAGAUUGUAAUAUUCACCAAAUGUUUUUGAGGAAUCUCCCGUAAAUUUCUCUCCCUUUCCUUAUCCACUCUCCCUGCCACGACCGUACCCAGUUUCUGCACCGGUCCAGUCUUCCUGCUACCCCUGCUCACCUUCGUGAACUCCACAUCCGACUUAUGUCCCACAUUCCCAUUCAAAACUGCAUUACUUGGCACACAAGCAAGAGCAUCCUCCUCCACUGGUCUUCUCGGGCAUGAAUGAAUUGCAUGCCCGUACAGCCCGCAACCCGCACAAAUGUUUGUUAGCCCUUCAUAGGCAACAAAGUACCUCUCCCCAUUAACCCUGACAGAGCCCUUCAAUGGCUUGUUCAAGUCCACUUCCACACAUACCCUAGCAAAACGAGCCCUUUCAAAAUUCAGUGUAGUAAUGUCCACUUUAAUUGGCUUCCCGACUCCUUGCGCUAUUCCCAUCAGGAUCUCUCUAUGAUAAAAAUUCACCAGGAUGUUAGACAAUCUAAUCCAAACCGGUGUUGUGAUAAUAUCAUUCUGCAUCGGAUCAAAGUCCGGUGCCUAUGCCUUCACCAUUAGAUAGCUACCAAAAAUCCUCCAUGGACCCCCAGUCAACGCCGCCAAGUACUCAUCUUCCUUUUCGAAUCGAACCAUAAAAAACUUUCGUGGGAGAUCCAUUACGUGCAUAUCUCCUUACGGUCUCCACAUCUCUUUGAGUCUCCUUGUCAACAUUGUGAUCGGUACAUCCCUUCCGAGAACUUUCACCACUAUACACUGCUUCCAAAGUCCAUUCAUAGCAUCCAAAACCUCCUGCCCUAUAGUAAUGACCGCCUCUCCAUCCUCUCCAUCCGGAAACUCAAGAUUCAGUCUUGCCCUCACAAACUCCGCAUCUACCACUUUCUCCGGUGAUAACCUACCACCCACAUUCUGCCCUGCCACCUUAUUUGCCCAUGUCAUCCCUACAUCCGGAGGAUCACCCGGCGACCUCCCCCGAUCUCCCACAUCCGCCAUCGCCGUAUCUUGCACAUCCGAAAUCCUAAUCGCCUCACUCAUCACCUUGUGACUUGGUACACUCCAGAUAGUUUAUGAUAUGAUUAAACUUGUUUGCUAAUUGAUUGAAUUAAAUGAUAUAUAGACAUGAUAUAAAUAUGUUAAACUAUUAUCUUUUUUAUUAUUGCAUGAACUUGAUAGAGCUGAAUCGAUUUGCUCUUAAAGAAGAAACUCUCCCCAUUUUUCGUUUCAUUCGUAUUAAACAGUUUUUUUUUCCCUAUCUAGACAAGAAAGUAAAACCAAACAUAGUUUCGGAACAUAUGUUCAAACUUUAGAUAACAAUUCCAAGUUCUUUUUCAGUUACGUAAGAAAAAAUCAAAGCCUUUGGACAGAAAGAGAAGAAAGACACCAAAGUCAUAACCGAAAGAGAUCAAUGAUCAAAAUGCUGCUUUCAUAUGAUCAGCAAAAUCAGCGAACACAUCAGAAAGAGAAAAGAGAAAACAAGUAGUGCUCUUAACCUCAAAGAGGUUAAUUCAAAGUGUCUUUUUAUAACAAAGUUCUUUAUUCGAAAACAAAGCUCUUACAAUCUCCCACUGAUUAAACCGGUUUGAUAAAAACCGGUCCAUCUAAGAGAGGCAUGAGUAAGCAAGGUCCUUCUCUUCCUUCAACUCCUCGGCUGUCAAAUCCAUCUUCUUCCUCGAUACUUCAUCAAUCGGUAAACCUGUGAACAACAACAAAAACACACAUCAGAACAUUCUACAGAACAUCAUUUUAUUUCACUUUGGUUAAGUUUUGGUUUCAAGAAAAUCAUUUUUACCUUGUACAAUAGACCACUCUCCGUUACGGCAGGUUACAGGGAAAGAGUAGAUUAGUCCAGAUGGAACGUUGUAUGAUCCAUCUGAGUAUACUCCCAUUGAAACAAAUGUGCCCUGAGAUUUUGAAUCAAAGAACCUGUUUAGUUGUUUAGUACAUAAACAAUGAACUGAUUCGAAAUCAAGUAAGUAGAAUGUCGAACCUCGGGGGUUCCAAGGACCCAAUCACGGAUAUGGUCACAAGCUGAGCUAGCUGCAGAGAGUGCACUAGAAAGCUUCCUGGCCUUGAUAAUGGCAGCUCCACGUUGUUGAACGGUAGAGAUGAACUCUCCAUUCAACCUACAAACAUAAGUCAACCAAAAUUUAGGAUCGCAUAGACGAAGGUUAGGCAGAGAAUAUCAAAGGGGUUUUAAAAGGUUUGUAUACCACUCGUCGUUCUUGACUAGCUCACGCACAGGCUUUUCUCCAGAAGAAGUUUUGACUGUAGCGUGGUUGACAUCUGGGUAUUGGGUAGAUGAGUGGUUUCCCCAGAUAAUCACGUUCUUAACAUCAGAAACUGGCACGCUUAGCCUCUCAGAGACCUGUCCCAAUGCCCUGUUGUGGUCAAGCCUGGUCAAGCAAGUGAUGUUCUUCUCCGGGAUUGAAGGUGCAAAUUCCUUAAGGAUCAAUGCGUUGGUGUUUGCAGGGUUUGCAACAACCAGAACCUACAAAACGCAGGUUAACUUUAGAUUACAUACACAGAAUUAUCUCAGCAAAAAAAGAUUUGAAAGAUUCAUCACCUUGCAGUUUGGUGCGGCAUGCUUCUCCAAGGCAGCAGCCUGAGACUUGUAAAUGGAAACGUUCUUGGACAUGACAUCUUUCCUCUCCAUUCCUUCUUUCCUCGGGAAACCACCAACCAUGACAGCAACAUUGACACCAGUACACCCUUCAACGGCAUCAGUUGUAGCAACCACAC